CAGCAGCCACGGGAAUACGUAGGUGGCAAGCGUUGUCCGGAAUUAUUGGGCGUAAAGGGCUCGCAGGCGGUUUCUUAAGUCUGAUGUGAAAGCCCCCGGCUCAACCGGGGAGGGUCAUUGGAAACUGGGAAACUUGAGUGCAGAAGAGGAGAGUGGAAUUCCACGUGUAGCGGUGAAAUGCGUAGGGAUGUGGAGGAACACCAGUGGCGAAGGCGACUCUCUGGUCUGUAACUGACGCUGAGGAGCGAAAGCGUGGGGAGCGAACAGGAUUAGAUACCCCAGUAGUCCCUGUCUCUUAUAC
This 301-nucleotide ribosomal RNA is filed under the name uncultured bacterium. Its description in RNAcentral is "partial 16S ribosomal RNA". It matches the Rfam family "Bacterial small subunit ribosomal RNA", at positions 509 to 807 of the family's 1533-position model. The record is from RNAcentral.